This 72-nucleotide transfer RNA is filed under the name Podoviridae sp. ctz6O13. Its description in RNAcentral is "tRNA-Arg". It matches the Rfam family "tRNA". Rfam says of the family: Transfer RNA (tRNA) molecules are approximately 80 nucleotides in length. Their secondary structure includes four short double-helical elements and three loops (D, anti-codon, and T loops). Further hydrogen bonds mediate the characteristic L-shaped molecular structure. tRNAs have two regions of fundamental functional importance: the anti-codon, which is responsible for specific mRNA codon recognition, and the 3' end, to which the tRNAs corresponding amino acid is attached (by aminoacyl-tRNA synthetases). tRNAs cope with the degeneracy of the genetic code in two manners: having more than one tRNA (with a specific anti-codon) for a particular amino acid; and 'wobble' base-pairing, i.e. permitting non-standard base-pairing at the 3rd anti-codon position. Lineage: Duplodnaviria; Heunggongvirae; Uroviricota; Caudoviricetes. The record is from RNAcentral.
GCUCCCAUAGUUCAAUGGAUAGAACGUAAGUUUUCUAAACUUACUAUCUAGGUUCGAUUCCUGGUGGGAGUA